AUACGGAGGAUCCGAGCGUUAUCCGGAUUUAUUGGGUUUAAAGGGUGCGCAGGCGGCCAUUUAAGUCAGCGGUUAAAUCGUGGGGCUCAACCCCAUUCUGCCGUUGAUACUGGGUGGCUUGAUUGCGGUCGAGGUUGGCGGAAUUAGUUGUGUAGCGGUGAAAUGCAUAGAUAUGACGAAGAACACCGAUUGCGUAGGCAGCUGACCAGACCGCAAAUGACGCUCAUGCACGAAAGUGCGGGGAUCGAACAGGAUUAGAUACCCUGGUAGUCCGCACAGUAAACGAUGAAUACUUGUUUUCGGCGAUAUAAUGUCGGAGGCAAAGCGAAAGCGAUAAGUAUUCCACCUGGGGAGUACGCCGGCAACGGUGAAACUCAAAGGAAUUGGCGGGG
This 392-nucleotide ribosomal RNA is filed under the name uncultured bacterium. RNAcentral describes it as "partial 16S ribosomal RNA". It matches the Rfam family "Bacterial small subunit ribosomal RNA", at positions 523 to 918 of the family's 1533-position model. The record is from RNAcentral.